UGGGCUGGAGAUAAUGAAAAUGAAAUAUUUCCCGGGAAGCCUUGGUGGGUCAACAACUUUGCUUUCUGAUUCAGCAAGUUCUAAGCAGAGUCUGGGGAUGAUGGUGGGCUUUAUCACUGGGGCUGUUAUUGCUGUGGUGUUAGCUGCAAUUAUCUUUAUGUUAUGCAGAAAAGGGAAAAAGUCUGCUCGCCAAAGCCAUUCAAAGACCAAGUGUAAGAAUUCUCACACUGUUGGCAGUAAGAAUUCUAAUAUGGGAUAUCGCAUUCCUUUUGCGGCAGUUGAAGAGGCCACAAACUGCUUCGAUGAGAGUUGGGUUAUUGGUAUUGGUGGUUUUGGG
RNAcentral lists this unclassified non-coding RNA (337 nucleotides) under Hevea brasiliensis (rubber tree). Lineage: Eukaryota; Viridiplantae; Streptophyta; Magnoliopsida; Malpighiales; Euphorbiaceae. The record is from RNAcentral.